RNAcentral lists this ribosomal RNA (329 nucleotides) under uncultured eukaryote. RNAcentral's name for it is "partial 18S ribosomal RNA". It matches the Rfam family "Eukaryotic small subunit ribosomal RNA", at positions 1470 to 1796 of the family's 1831-position model. The record is from RNAcentral.
CCCUUAGAUGUUCUGGGCCGCACGUGCGCUACACUGAUGCAUUCAACGAGUCUAAAACCUGCUCUGAUAGGGGUGGGUAAUCUUUUGAAUGUGCAUCGUGAUUGGGAUAGAUGAUUGCAAUUUUUCAUCUUCAACGAGGAAUGCCUAGUAAACGCAAGUCAUCAGCUUGCAUUGAUUACGUCCCUGCCCUUUGUACACACCGCCCGUCGCUCCUACCGAUUGAAUGAUCCGAUGAAUAUCAUGGAUUGAGGAUGCAAGCAGGUUCGCCUGUCUUCAUCUUCGAGAAGUGAAGUAAAUCUUAUCAUUUAGAGGAAGGAGAAGUCGUAACA